This 497-nucleotide ribosomal RNA is filed under the name uncultured bacterium. RNAcentral's name for it is "partial 16S ribosomal RNA". It matches the Rfam family "Bacterial small subunit ribosomal RNA", at positions 28 to 507 of the family's 1533-position model. The record is from RNAcentral.
GAUGAACGCUGGCGGCGUGCCUAAUACAUGCAAGUCGAGCGAACGGACGAGGAGCUUGCUCCUUUGACGUUAGCGGCGGACGGGUGAGUAACACGUGGAUAACCUACCUAUAAGACUGGGAUAACUUCGGGAAACCGGAGCUAAUACCGGAUAAUAUAUUGAACCGCAUGGUUCAAUAGUGAAAGACGGUUUUGCUGUCACUUAUAGAUGGAUCCGCGCCGCAUUAGCUAGUUGGUAAGGUAACGGCUUACCAAGGCAACGAUGCGUAGCCGACCUGAGAGGGGGAACCGCCCCAACUGGAACUGGACACCGGCCCAACCCCCACGGGGGGGAGGAGUAGGGAAUCUUCCGGAAUGGGGGGAAACCCGACGGAGCAAACCCGGGGGGGGUGAUAAGGGCCUUGGAAUGGAAAACCCUUUUUUUUGGGAAAAAAAAAAUUGUAAAGUAACAUUCACCUUUUGAAGGGAACCAAACAGAAAACCCAGGCUAAAUUAGGG